CCUACGGGAGGCAGCAGUGGGGAAUAUUGCACAAUGGGGGAAACCCUGAUGCAGCGACGCCGCGUGAGUGAAGCAGUAUUUCGGUAUGUAAAGCUCUAUCAGCAGGGAAGAAGAAAGAUGGUACCUGACUACGAAGCCCCGGCUAACUACGUGCCAGCAGCCGCGGUACUACGUAGGGGGCAAGCGUUAUCCGGAUUGACUGGGUGUAAAGGGAGCGUAGACGGCUGUGCAAGUCUGAUGUGAAAGCCCAGGGCUCAACCCUGGGACUGCUUUGGAAACUGUGGAGCUAGAGUGCUGGAGAGGUAAGUGGAAUUCCUAGUGUAGCGGUGAAAUGCGUAGAUAUUAGGAGGAACACCAGUGGCGAAGGCGGCUUACUGGACAGUAACUGACGUUGAGGCUCGAAAGCGUGGGGAGCAAACAGGAUUAGAUACCCUUGUAGUC
RNAcentral lists this ribosomal RNA (441 nucleotides) under uncultured bacterium. RNAcentral's name for it is "partial 16S ribosomal RNA". It matches the Rfam family "Bacterial small subunit ribosomal RNA", at positions 338 to 795 of the family's 1533-position model. The record is from RNAcentral.